Long non-coding RNA from Camelus dromedarius (Arabian camel), 5269 nucleotides. RefSeq lists it as uncharacterized. The transcript has 4 exons. Lineage: Eukaryota; Metazoa; Chordata; Mammalia; Artiodactyla; Camelidae. The record is from RefSeq and is a predicted model, not a curated record.
UGAUCUCACAUGGUAUUUUUCUUUCUCUUUCUGGCUUACUUCACUUAGAAUGGCAUUCUCCAGGAGCAUCCAUGUUGCUGCAAAUGGCGUUAUGUUGUCGGUUUUUAUGGCUGAAUAGUAUUCCAUUGUAUAAAUAUACCACAUCUUCUUUAUCCAGUCAUCUGUUGAUGGACAUUUAGGCUGUUUCCAUGUCUUGGCUGUUGUAAAUAGUGCUGCUAUGAACAUUGGGGUGCAGGUGUCAUCCUGAAGUAGGGUUCCUUCUGGAUAUAUGACCAGGAGAAAAGUUUUAUGUCUUUUAAAGAAGCUGAGAUCUACUCUCCCUCUACCAGAGAGAAAAUAUAUUUAUAAAGCUUGUUAUAUCAAAAUUCUUGUUUACCAUUUCUAGUUCUCUUCACUGAGAGGAUUCAAGUCACCACCAGAAAUUUGUCAUUUUAUCACAGCUGUGCCCACACCCCUCCUCUGUGCUGUUAUUGUUAAAGAUACUACAUUUUUAUGUGUUAAAGGCCCAACAGCACGAUGCUAAUUAUAUGGUUUUAUGCAAUUCCUUUUUCAAAAGACAAGUUUUAAAAUAGCAGUUUUAGGUUCACAGCAAAAAUCGAGAGGGAAGUACAGAGGUUUCCCAUAAAGCCGCACCCCCGGUGCGUGAUGCACAGCCUCCCCCGUCAUCAGCAGCCCCGCCAGACGGCACGUUUGUUACACCUGAGGAGACGCGUGGACACGCACCGCCCAAAGCGCAGUUUACAUCAGGGUUCGCUCUCGGCGCCGCGGUCUGUGGCUCUGGACAAGUUACAGGGGUGCGUGUCCAGUACAGUGUCAGGCCGAGUAUUUUAGUGGCCCUGAAAGUCGCCCAUGCGCCACCUGUUCAUCGCUCCCCCCGCCACCCCUGGCAAGCACUGAUCUUUUUACUGUCUCUGUGGUUUUGUCUUUCCCAGAGUGUCAUGCAGUUGGAAUCCUACAACAUGUGACCUUUUCAGAUUGGCUUCUUUCAUUUAGUAAUCUGCAUUUAAAUUCCCCCCAUGUCUCUUCAUGACUUGAAGCUCAUUUAUUUUUAGUGCUGAAUAGUCUUACACUGUCUGGCUGUUCCCCAGUGUAUUUCUCCAUGUACCUACUGCAUGGCAUCUCUGUUGCUUCCAAGUUCUGGCAGUUGUGAGUAAGGCUGCUAUAAAUAUCCACGUGCAGGUUUUGUGUGGAGGUGAGUUUUCAGCUCCUUUGGGUAAACAUCAGGGAGCACGACUGCUGCAUUAGAAUUGUUUAGUUUUGUAAAAAUGCCAACUAUCUUCCGAAGCAGCCGUGCCAUCCUGCACGGCCGCCAGCCACGGAGGAGGGUUCCUGUUCUGCGUCCUUACCCGACCCUGGCGGUCCUGGUCAGGUGUGUGGUGGUACCUCGCUGUUGUUUUAAUUGCAUCUCCCUGAUGACGUAAGACCUGGAGCAUCUUUUCCUGUGCUUAUUUGCCAUCUGCAUGUCUUCUUUGGGGAGGUGCCUAUUAAGUUCCUUUGAGCCUUUUUUUUAUAUGGGUCGCUUGCCUCCUGUGGUUGAGCCUCGUGUGUACUUUGGCUAACAGCCCUUUAUCAGGUGUGUCCUUUGCAAAUAUUUUCUCGCAGUCUGUGGUUUACCUUCCCGUUCUCUUGACAGUGUCUUUUGCAGAGCAGACAUUUAACAUUUUUACGUCCAGCUUCCCAGUUCUUCCUUUCUCAGAUCACAGCUUUGGUGUUGCAUCUAGAAGUCAUUGCCAAACCCAGGAUCACCGAGGCCUCCUCCUGCGUGAUCUGCUUUACAUUUAGGCCUGGGAUCCACUUUGAGUUAAUUUUUGUGAAGGGUGUAGAUCUGUGUGUAGAUUCUUCUUCUUUCUUCAUGUGGAUGCCCAGUUGUUCCUGCACCAUUUGAUGAAAAGAUGCAAUUACUUUUUAAGUAGGUGAUAAGAAAGGAGAAGAAAUAUGCAGUUACGUUGUUUUCCGUAAGUACCUACCUAGUGACCUUUCCUGGCAAUCUUUGUGUUCUUGGUGUGUAUGGAUCUGAAUGAUUGCUUCCAGCCUGAAGCGCCUCCCUCAGUAUAGUUUCUUUCCAAGGCAGGUGUGCCAGCGACAAGCUUCUCCGGUAUUGUUUAUCUGGAAAUGUCUUCACGUCACCUUCACUGCUGAAAGGCAGUUUCGCUGGAUGUAAGGAUCUUGUUUCACUUCUUCCUUCGGCACUUGCAGAGCGUCUCCCCCGCUUUCUGGUCUCCACUCUUUCUGAUGAGAAGUUUGCUGUUAGUCUUGCUGGGAUUCCCUGGUAUGUGACAUAGUUUUUCCCUUGCUGUUUUCAAGAUUUUCUCUGUGUCUUUAGCUUUUGACACGCUGUCUACGACGUGUCUGGAUGCGAGUCUCUGUGCGUACCCUGUGUGGAGUUUGUUGAGCUUCUUGGAUGUGUAGAUUCAUUGUUUUUUUUUUUUUUUAAAUCCAAUCUGAGGCAUUUUCAGGCAUUAUUUCUUUGAAUUUCUUUUUCUGCGCCCUCUCUCUCUCCUCUCCUCCAGGUACUCCCACCGGGUGCCUGUUCACGAGGUCGGUGGUGCCCCACCUCUCUCCCAGCUUCUGUUCGUUUUCUUCUGAAUUCCCUUCUCUCUGUUCUUCGGUGUUUGGCCUCUGCCAGUGUGUCUGGGCUAACGCCGGGACUCCUUCACCAGAGGGUCCUGCACGCCUGUGGGCGCAGCCUGGCUCUGGGGACUGGGGGCUCUGAGUGGUGGGCAGAGAGCGUUGUCUUCAGAGCGCUCUCAGAGGAGUCCUGAAGCUUCACAUCCUCACAGGCUGAAGCUUCGCAGACUCAUCCUGCUCCAGGGUGGCUCCUCACCAGCUCCCCGGUCAUUUUCUGGGAGUUGGCCUGGUGCUGUGCCUUUCCACAGGGGCCCCCAGAAGGCUCCACACAGCCUCCGACAGCUCCCGGUGGUACCUGCUGUGAAGGCAGAGGGCAGCGGUGAUGCACGGACAGCGGGCCUUGGCUCAGUGCUGAGGGGCCGCCCUGCCCGCUGAACUUUCCUGUGCUGCUGGGCUGAUCUGGGACGUCUGCCCGCCCCCUGGCCUGCCUACGGCUGCUCCAGGAGGGCAGUGACCUUGGCCUUUCCCCUCCAGGAGGACCAGGGUAUCAGGUCUCCAAACAAGCCUUACCCAGUGCCCCCACCCCCAUUUAACAGGUGCUUAGAGAAAUAAUUUUUGGAUGAAAACCUGCUUAGUUUGUCCCUGUCCCCCAGAAUGGAAAGGAAGGUUGUGGGUGGGUGAGAGCACUGGGCUGAGAGUCAAAUCUCAGCCUAACUCUGCCCUGUACUGGCUGUGUGACUGGAAGUCAGCUGCUCCACCUGUUUCCAGACCCGGGUGCUUAUGAGCUGCUCAGUGACUGUGUCUUCCCCUUUCCAGUUCCUCAUGGCAUGUCUGUACUCACUUACUGUACGACAAAGUCUUUUUAACUUCCUUCUUCUCAUCUUAGCCACAUCUAUGUCAAGCCCUCCAGGCUGAAGCGAAGGCUCCGUGUGUGCGCACACGUGUGUGCGUGGUAUGCACGUGUGUGUGUGCACAUGGCAGAUCAGACGCAACCCAGUGCAAAGUGGAUACCCCUCCGGCAUUCUGACUACCAGGUACCGUGUUUUGUGCCCUGAUUUCUCAUCCUUAUUAUCUGUGGUCUCUUUGCUCAGGAAUAAAAAGGAAAAUUGGGCUAAAGACUCAUACAAAAGUUAAUCUGAGCGAUUGAAGCCCGCUUCCCAGAAAUGCAAAGAUGACUUCAAAGGGCUGUUACCCCGGAGUUACCAGGGAGGACACCUGUCUCAGGAGGCACUGGCGGCUGCUCCUGCUUCUUCAGCUGCUUCGUUAACUCGAGCAGGAGUCCUGGGCCAGCUUUCAGGUGAGCUGCUGGCUGUGUUUCCUCAAGGGGAGAGCUGGGAGCCCAGCUGCUGUCACUCCCGGUAGCAGUUGGCAGCUCCCCCAUCCGCUUUUUAACCUGGACGGGCUCAGCCCUGACAUCUGUUGGAGCUGCUGUGGUGCUCACAGGAGUGCAGGCUUCCCCUGCUGCUUCUUCCCCACCUUGCCCGGGUGGGCAGGCCAUGCACCAGCUGGCAGCGCCGAAGCUCGUGAGGGAAGCACGUGGUGAAGCCUGUGAGCAGCUCCAGGAACCGCUGCUCCUCACGAGAGCCGCUUAGCUCCCUGGAGUUUACCCAAGUGCAGAGCUGUUGGGAGCGGAACUCUGAACGUGGCCUCAGGAAGGAAUCCAGCCCAGAAAACUGUCAUUAGCGGCCGCCUGCGCUAGGAGUAGAUGUUCACGGGAGGGUAAGACACGAGCUAAAUGGAACAGUGAUGGUAACAACAGUCAAGGUUAACCGAGAACAUUCUCCAUGCCAGCCACUGGGCCAAACCCUUGGGACUCAUGACCUCCCUCAAUACAACAGCCUGGUGAGAUAGAUAGCGGCCCCUUUUCACAGCUGGAUAACCUGAGGCUCAAAGAGGUGAAGUAACCAGUCCGAGAUCACACGGGCUGAGUGGCAGAGCUGAGACCUCCGCCCCAGAGCUCAGCGCACCCCGCCAACCCGCUCUGCCUUGUACUGCUCCUCACGAGAGCCGACCGGCCACAGAAUUUUCCAAACGCGUGUGUGUGCUGGGGGCAGCUUGUGGGUUCGAAAUCCCACAUCUACUACGGAUUAGUUGUGCAGACAACUCCAAGAGGCUGGGAAAAGCAGGUUCAGCUCAAAACGACCCUAUUCAAGAAGCAGAUUCAGGGGCAAGUCCUGGGCAACCAGCCGCUACCAUCACUGAGCCCCACUCCCUCAACUGGCCUGUUUGGUGUCGUCUGGGAAGACCUGCUUCCUAAGCCCUGCAGUCUUGGCUCCGCCUGCUGCCUUCCUGAGCUGCUUCUGGAUUCCAGCCCCGUCAGGCACUAAGUCCAGGAGGGCCCCAGGGAGAAACAGGAUGUCCCAAUGAAAACGCCACUUGACAGAGGAGAGGCCAAAGCUGCUCUGGUGCCUGCGGAGGUCUGAGCCUGUCUUUUGAAUCUCGCGCUUGGGGCACGGUCUACACUGAGACCAAGGCUGUCAGGUCCCUAACACCCCGGGGACUCAGCUGGUGGGACAUCACCGGCUACUUCCCAUCCCGCCCCCAGCGACCCUCCUGGUUCUGACCGCGGCGCCCUCCGCCCCACCCCAACUCCGCGCCUCGAGUCCCCCCAUCCGUCCUCCUGCCGACCCAGGCUUUCCCCCUCCCGGCCCUCAAUCCAAUCCCGGUUUCCCCGCCCCGCCCCCAGUUCUCUGCUGGGCCG